Molecule: ribosomal RNA, 908 nt
Filed under: uncultured bacterium
Lineage: Bacteria
Description: bacterial SSU rRNA
Rfam family: Bacterial small subunit ribosomal RNA
Source: RNAcentral
GUUUGAUCCUGGCUCAGAUUGAACGCUGGCGGCAUGCCUUACACAUGCAAGUCGAACGGCAGCGCGGGGCAACCUGGCGGCGAGUGGCGAACGGGUGAGUAAUAUAUCGGAACGUACCCUGGAGUGGGGGAUAACGUAGCGAAAGUUACGCUAAUACCGCAUACGAUCUAAGGAUGAAAGUGGGGGCUUCGCAAGAACCUCAUGCUCCUGGAGCGGCCGAUAUCUGAUUAGCUAGUUGGUGAGGUAAAGGCUCACCAAGGCUUCGAUCAGUAGCUGGUCUGAGAGGACGACCAGCCACACUGGAACUGAGACACGGUCCAGACUCCUACGGGAGGCAGCAGUGGGGAAUUUUGGACAAUGGGCGCAAGCCUGAUCCAGCAAUGCCGCGUGAGUGAAGAAGGCCUUCGGGUUGUAAAGCUCUUUUGUCAGGGAAGAAACGGUGAGAGCUAAUAUCUCUUGCUAAUGACGGUACCUGAAGAAUAAGCACCGGCUAACUACGUGCCAGCAGCCGCGGUAAUACGUAGGGUGCAAGCGUUAAUCGGAAUUACUGGGCGUAAAGCGUGCGCAGGCGGUUUUGUAAGUUUGUCGUGAAAGCCCCGGGCUCAACCUAGGAAUUGCGAUGAAGACUGCAAGGCUUGAAUCUGGCAGAGGGGGGUAGAAUUCCACGUGUAGCAGUGAAAUGCGUAGAGAUGUGGAGGAACACCGAUGGCGAAGGCAGCCCCCUGGGUCAAGAUUGACGCUCAUGCACGAAAGCGUGGGGAGCAAACAGGAUUAGAUACCCUGGUAGUCCACGCCCUAAACGAUGUCUACUAGUUGUCGGGUUUUAAUUAACUUGGUAACGCAGCUAACGCGUGAAGUAGACCGCCUGGGGAGUACGGUCGCAAGAUUAAAACUCAAAGGAAUUGACG